This 449-nucleotide ribosomal RNA is filed under the name uncultured bacterium. Its description in RNAcentral is "partial 16S ribosomal RNA". It matches the Rfam family "Bacterial small subunit ribosomal RNA", at positions 29 to 523 of the family's 1533-position model. The record is from RNAcentral.
AACGAACGCUGGCGGCAGGCCUAACACAUGCAAGUCGAACGAACCGUUUACGGUGAGUGGCGCACGGGUGAGUAACACGUGGGAAUAUACAUUUCGGUAAGGAAUAACGUAGAGAAAUUUACGCUAAUACCUUAUAAUGACUACGGCCCAAAGAUUUAUCGCCGAAGGAUUAGCCCGCGUUAGAUUAGGUAGUUGGUAGGGUAAUGGCCUACCAAGCCUACGAUCUAUAGCUGGUCUUAGAGGAUGAUCAGCCACACUGGAACUGAGACACGGUCCAGACUCCUACGGGAGGCAGCAGUGAGGAAUAUUGCGCAGUGGGGGAAACCCUGACGCAGCCAUGCCGCGUGAGUGACGAAGGCCUUAGGGUUGUAAAGCUCUUUCAGAUGUAAAGAUAAUGACGGUAACAUCAGAAGAAGCUCCGGCUAAAUUCGUGCCAGCCGCCGCGGUAA